GAAAUUUUCCGCAAUGGGCGAAAGCCUGACGGAGCAAUACCGCGUGAGGGAGGAAGGCCUUUUGGGUUGUAAACCUCUUUUCUCAGGGAAGAAGUUCUGACGGUACCUGAGGAAUAAGCAUCGGCUGAACUCCGUGCCAGCAGCCGCGGUAAUACGGAGGAUGCAAGCGUUAUCCGGAAUUAUUGGGCGUAAAGCGGUCCGCAGGUGGUCUUUCAAGUCUGCUGUCAACAGACUGGAGCUCAACUCCGGAAAGGCGGUGGAAACUGAGAGACUAGAGUUCGGUAGGCGGUAGCGGGAAUUCCCAGUGUAGCGGUGAAAUGUCGUAGAUAUUGGGAAGAACAUCGGUGGCGAAAGGCGCGCUACUGGACCGAAACUGACACUCAGU
This 385-nucleotide ribosomal RNA is filed under the name Aphanocapsa sp. Ind54. Its description in RNAcentral is "bacterial SSU rRNA". It matches the Rfam family "Bacterial small subunit ribosomal RNA", at positions 358 to 751 of the family's 1533-position model. Lineage: Bacteria; Bacillati; Cyanobacteriota; Cyanophyceae; Chroococcales; Microcystaceae. The record is from RNAcentral.